Molecule: ribosomal RNA, 245 nt
Filed under: uncultured bacterium
Lineage: Bacteria
Description: partial 16S ribosomal RNA
Rfam family: Bacterial small subunit ribosomal RNA
Source: RNAcentral
UACGAAGGGGCUAGCGUUGCUCGGAAUUACUGGGCGUAAAGCGCACGUAGGCGGCUUUCUAAGUCGGGGUGAAAUCCUGGAGCUCAACUCCAGAACUGCCUUCGAUACUGGAGGCGUCGAGUCCGGGAGAGGUGAGUGGAACUGCGAGUGUAGAGGUGAAAUUCGUAGAUAUUCGCAAGAACACCAGUGGCGAAGGCGGCUCACUGGCCCGGUACUGACGCUGAGGUGCGAAAGCGUGGGGAGCA